UAUGAUCUGAAGUCAGGUGGGAUUACCCGCUGAACUUAAG
RNAcentral lists this ribosomal RNA (40 nucleotides) under Rhizopus arrhizus. Its description in RNAcentral is "Rhizopus oryzae partial 28S ribosomal RNA". Lineage: Eukaryota; Fungi; Mucoromycota; Mucoromycetes; Mucorales; Rhizopodaceae. The record is from RNAcentral.